Molecule: small RNA, 112 nt
Filed under: Cellulophaga sp. HaHaR_3_176
Lineage: Bacteria; Pseudomonadati; Bacteroidota; Flavobacteriia; Flavobacteriales; Flavobacteriaceae
Description: 6S RNA
Rfam family: 6S-Flavo RNA
Source: RNAcentral
ACUCAACGUUAAAUUGUUUAAAAAGGGUGAGUUUAGGUUGUAAAAGCAGGCCUUGUAUUCUAAUAGGAUCCUUGAGCAAUCUGUUAGCCCUAAACUUGUUAUUUUGGAGUUU